UAAAGCCCGGUAUUGUUGUUUAUUGUCACUUCCUCCCCGUGUCAGGAUUGGGUAAUUUGCGCGCCUGUUGCCUUCCUUGGAUGUGGUAGCCGUUUCUCAGGCUCCCUCUCCGGAAUCGAACCCUAAUUCUCCGUCACCCGUCACCACCAUGGUAGGUGUCCCUGUUGCCUUCCUUGGAUGUGGUAGCCGUUUCUCAGGCUCCCUCUCCGGAAUAGAACCCUAGUUCUUCGUCACCUAACACCACCAUGGCACGCCACUAUCCUACCAUCGAAAGUUGAUAGGGAAUAAAUUUGAAUGAUACGUCGCCGGCACGAUGGCCAUGCGAUCCGUCUAGUUAUCAUGAAUCAUCGCAGCAAUAGGCAGAUACCGCGUCGACCUCUUGUCAAAUAAAUGCACCCCUUCUAGAAUUCGCGGUUUGCUACACGUAUUAGAUCUACAAUUACUACGGUUAUCCAAGUAGUAGAUACCAACAAACAAACUAUAACUGAUUUAAUGAGCCAUUCGCAGUUUCACAGUAUGAAUUUGUUCAUACUUACACAUGCAUGGCUUAAUCUUUGAGACAAGCAUAUGACUACUGGCAGGAUCAACCAGGUAGCAUUCCUCAUUGACGCGCAGUUUCACAGUAUGAAUUUGUUCAUACUUACACAUGCAUGGCUUAAUCUUUGAGACAAUCAUAUGACUACUGGCAGGAUCAACCAGGUGGUAUUCCUCAUUAACGCCGGCGUCGCAUGAGCGUGGCCGACCCAAAAGGGCAGGACCAAGUCCAAGGCGAGCACGACCGUCAUUCGUAAGGAGCAUUCGUUCGGUAGAUAGAAUCCAAUAAAUGGCCCGUGCCCAUUGCGUUUACCAAAUUCGAGAGCCCGAGCAUGCUAAGUUGUGGACCAAGCCAUCACAAGGCGAAUCUAGGACGACCUGGGACACAACUGUUGCUUUUGAAUCACCCCGUACGUCGAACGCGAGGGGCGAAAGGCGACCGAUUGUGCUUGAUAAUGCCUUGGAAUUUGGUAUGCAACACAGAAAAUCGACGUCAAACAAGCCUAAUCUUUGCUUGUGACAUGACUGAGAUGGCAUGCGAGCUAGGACAUCCCUGCCAUGUCCUGCUACCUCCCGACUCGUGUCAUUGCAAUGCCUUGCCAUGUCCUGAAGCGUCCUGACACGUGCCAUGGCCAUGUCCUGAUGCGUCCUGACACGUGACAUAGCCAUGUCCUGCAACGUCCUGACUCGUGCCAUGACCACGCCCGGCCAUGUCCUGACGCGUCCUGACACAUGCCAUGUCCUGACGCAUCCUGAUGCGUCCCGACUCGUGCCAUAGCCACGCCCUGCCAUGUCCUGCGACCUCCUGACUCGUGUCAUGGCAACGCCCUGCCAUGUCUUACGGCCAUGUCCUGGCGCGUCCUGAUGCGUCUCGACUCGUGCCAUGGCCACGACAUGCCAUGUCCUGCGACGACCCGACACAUGUCUUGACACGUGCCAUGGCCAUGUUCUGACGUGUCCUAACAUGUGCCAUGGCCAUGUCCUGAUGCGUCCUGACACGUGCCAUGGCCUUGUCCUGACAUGUCAUGCGACCUCCCGAUUCGUGUCAUGGCAAUGCCCUGCCAUGUCCUGAUGCCUCUUGACACGUGCCAUGGCCAUGUACUGAUGCGUUCGGACACGUGCCAUGGCCAUGUCUUGAUGCAUCCUUACACGUGCCACGGCCACGCCCUGCGACCUCCCAACUCGUUAUCUUUUAACAGAUAUGCCACCCCAGCCAAACUCCCCACCUGACCAUUUCUUCCACCCGAAUCGGCCUGCAAGCAAGCCUUGGGUCCAAAAGGAGGGGCAGUGCCCCGCUUUCGAUUCACGGAAUAAGUAAGAUAACGUUAAAAGUAGUAGUAUUUCACAUUCUCCUUUCAGCUCCCACUUAUACUACACCUCUCAAGUCAUUUCACAAAGACGGACUAGAGUCAAGCUCAACAAGGUCUUCUUUCCCUGCUGAUUCUGCCAUGCCCGUUCCCUUGGCUGUGGUUUCACUCUAUAGUAGACAGGGACAGUGGGAAUCUCAUUAAUCCAUUCAUGCGCGUCACUAAUUAGAUGACGAAGCAUUUGGAUACCUUAAGAGAGUCAUAGUUACUCACGCCGUUCACCCACAAUUGGUUGAAUUUCUUCACUUUCACAUUUAAAGCACUGGGCAGAAAUCACAUUGCGUAAACAUCCGCAGGGACCAUCGCAAUGCUUUAUUUUAAUAAAAUAAUGAGAUUCCCCUUGUUCGUACCAGAUUUGUGUUUGUUGUUUGAUGCCCUGGGAAGGCCCCUGAAGGAACUGUUCCCAGUCCGUUUCCCGAUCACCACGCGGCGACACGCUCUCACCAUGGGAGCAGCUCGAGCAGUCCACCACCAGCCGACGGGUUCGGGAAUGGGACCCGGCCUAGCCCUCAAAGCCAAUCAUUUUCCCGAAAUUACGGAUCCAUUUUGCCGACUUCCCUUGCCUACAUUGUUCCAUCGACUAGAGGCUGUUCACCUUGGAGAGCUGAUGCGGUUAUGAGUACGAGCGAGCAUGGACGGCACUCGGUCCUCCGGAUUUUCAAGGGCCGCCGGGGGCACAUCGGACACCACGCGACGUGCAGUGCUCUUCCAACCGCUGGACCCUACAUCCGACUGAGUCAUUUCCAGGGUGGGCAGGCUGGUAAAUAGAAAAGAUAACUCUUCCCAAGGCCCCCGACGAUGUCUCUGGACUUCCUAAUGUAGCCGUCAAUUGCAGCAUCCCGGUUCAGGAAUUAAAACAUGAUUCCCAUAUGGAGUACGCGCGAAAUGCGCUAUCUGUUAGGGUUCCCCCGACCCUUAGGAUCGACUAACCCAUGUGCAAGUGUCGUUCACAUGGAACCUUUCUCCUCUCCAGCCUUCAAAGUUCUUAUUUGAAUAUUUGCUAUUAUCACCAAGAUCUGUACCAAGGGCCACUCCACCAAGGAUCACGCCCAAGGUUUUGUAGCGACCGCCGCACCCUCCUGCUCAUCGAGGCCUGGCACUUGCCCCGAUGGCCUGGUGUAGGUCGCACACUUAAGCGCCAUCCAUUUUUGGGGCUAGCUGAUUCGGCAGGUGAAUUUUUACACACUCCUUAGCGGAUUUCGACUUCCAUGACCACCAUCCCAUUUUCUUAAUCGACCAACACCCUUUGUGGGAUCUAGGUUAGAUCACAGUUUGGCACCGUAACCUGGCUUCCGGUUCAUCCCGCAUUGCCAGUUCUGCUUACCAAAAAUGGCCCACUUGGAGAUCUUGAUUCAGUGGCACGGGUCAACAAAGCAGCCGCGCCAUCCUACCUAUUUAAAGUUUGAGAAUAGGUCGAGGGCGUUGCGCCCCCGAUGCCUCUAAUCAUUGGCUUUACCCGAUAGAACUCGCACGCGAGCUCCAAGUUCUGCUUACCAAAAAUGGCCCACUUGGAGAUCUUGAUUCAGUGGCACGGGUCAACAAAGCAGCCGCGCCAUCCUACCUAUUUAAAGUUUGAGAAUAGGUCGAGGGCGUUGCGCCCUCGAUGUAUUUAAUCAUUGGCUUUAUGCAAUAGAACUUGCACGCGAGCUCUAUGUAUCCUGAGGGAAACUUCGGAGAGAACCUGCUACUAGACGGUUCGAUUAGUCUUUCGCCCCUAUGCCCAAGUGAGACGAACGAUUUGCGCAUGAGUAUCUCUGCGAGCCUCCACCAGAGUUUCCUCUGGCUUCGCCCUGCUCAGGCAUAGUUCACCAUCUUUCGGGUCCCGACAGGUAUGCUCACACUCGAACCCUUCACAGAAGAUCAAGGUCGUUUCGCCCCUAUGCCCAAGUCAGACGAACGAUUUGCACGUCAGUAUCGCUGCGAGCCUCCACCAGAGUUUCCUCUGGCUUCGCCCUGCUCAGGCAUAGUUCACCAUCUUUCGGGUCCCGACAGGUAUGCUCACACUCGAACGCUUCACAGAAGAUCAAGGUCAGUCGGCGGUGCACCCCUCAAGGGGAUCCAACCAAUCAGCUUCCUUACACCUUACUGGUUUACUUGCCCAUUGACUCGCACACAUGUCAGACUCCUUCAUCCGUGUUUCAAGAUAGGUCAAAUGGGGAGCCCACAGAUGCCAAAGCACGCCAGAUGCGCGUGAUGCCUACCACAAUAAAGGAGACAAUUUCCACGAGCGUAUAAAAAGCCCAGGCUUUGGCCGCCCCCCAACCCAUGCCGGUCCACGCCCCGAGUCAAUCGGCGAACCGACUCAACACCGUUACACAUCCGACCAGGGUGCAUCGCUGGCCCUCAUCUGCUUCCCUCAUGAAAAUUUCAAGCAUCUUUGACUCUCUUUUCAAUGUCCUUUUCAUCUUUCCCUCGCGGUACUUGUUCGUUAUCGGUCUCUCGCCCGUAUAUAGCCUUGGAAGGAAUUCACCGCACGAUUUAGGCCACAUUCCCAAACAACCCAACUCGUAGGUAGCGGCUCAUGGUGAAACAGGGUCCGGGCACAACGGGGCUCUAACCCUCUCUGGCACCCCCUUCCAGGGGACUUGGGCCCGGUCUGUCGCUGAGGAUUCUUCUCUAGACUACGAUUCGGACCAUGGAGCCACCCGAUUCUAAGGCUGGGCUAUUCCCGGUUCGCUCGCCGUUACUAGGGGAAUACUUUUAAGUUUCUUUUCCUCCGCUUAUUGAUAUGCUUAAACUCAGCAGGAAGUCCUGCCUAAGCUGGGGUUGUCGUCGGAGCGCCUAAGCGCGAUUAGGGUCGGGGAGCCCAAACAUGCAACGGGUUGGAGCCGCGACAUUACGGGUUGGAGGCCAGUAUCUGUCCCAUGACAGCACCGCGACAAUGAGAAUGGGCUUAGUGUGCGGGGGCGACGCGAUGCGUGACGCCCAGGCAGACGUGCCCUCGGUCUAAUGGUUUCGGGUGAAAUUUACGUUCAAAGACUCGAUGGUUCAUGCGAUUCUGCAAUUCACACCAAGUAUUGCAUUUCGUUACGUUCUUCAUCGAUGCGAGAGUCGAGAUAUCCGUUGCCAAGUGUCAUUUAUGUUUUAAAGGAAGCAAAAGUCCCCCGCGCACGCUGGGAAUGGGGCGCGAGGGGCGGGCUUUCAAUUUAGUAUUCCUUGGCGAUUUCCACGCUGGGGUUUGAUAAUCACCCGGCACGCACACGAGCGCGUGCGUCGGGGAUGUAGGAGGAAGCCGCACGGACAGAGGCCGAAGCAUCCCGGUCGCACCGCUCCCCAAUUUUGAAACAAGUUCGCAUGUCUUUCUGCCUUGCAGGUUUCGACAAUGAUACUUCCGCAGGUUCUCAUACGGAAACCUUGUUACGACUUCUCCUUCCUCUAAAUGAUAAGGUUCAAUGGAUUUCUCGCGACUUCGCGGGCAGCGGAACGCCCGCGUCGUUGCGAUCCGAACAUUUAAUAGGAUCAUUCAAUCAAUAGGAGCGACGGGCGGUUUUUACAAAGGGCGGGGACGUAGUCAACGCAAGCUGAUGACUCGCGCUUACUAGGAAUUCCUCGUUAAAGACAAACAAUUGCAAUGAUAUAUCCCCAUCACGAUGAAAUUUCAAUGAUUACCCGGGCCUGUCGGCCAAGAAUAUAAACUCGUUGAAUACAUCAUUGUAGCGCGCGUGCGGCCCAGAACAUCUAAGGGCAUCACAGACCUGUUAUUACCUCAAAACUUCCGCGGCCUAAGAGGUCAUAGCCCCUCUAUGAAGCUGGUCGCGAAGGGAUACCUCCACAUAGCUAGUUAGCAGGCUGAGGUCUCGUUCGUUAACGGUUAACCAGUUAAAUCGCUCCACCAACUAAGAACGGCAAUGCACCACCACCCAUAUAAUCAAGAAAGAGCUAUCAGUCUGUCAAUCCUUACUAUGUCUGGACCUGGUAAGUUUCCCCGUGUUUAGUCAAAUUAAGCCGCAGGCUCCACUCCUGGUGGUGCCCUUCCGUCAAUUCCUUUAAGUUUCAGCCUUGCGACCAUACUCUAGUUUCCCCGUGUUUAGUCAAAUUAAGCCGCAGGCUCCACUCCUGGUGGUGCCCUCCCGUCAAUUCCUUUAAGUUUAAGCCUUGCAACUAUACUCCCCCCGGAACCCAAAAACUUUUAUUUCUCAUAAGGUGCCGGCGGAGUCCUAAAAGAAACACCUGCCGAUCCCUGGUCGGCAUCGUUUGUGGUUGAGACUAGGACGAUAUCUGAUCGUCUUCGAGCCCCCAAAUUUCGUUCUUGAUUAAUGAAAACAUCCUUGUCAAAUGCUUUCACAGUUGUUCGUCCUUCAUUAAUCCAAGAAUUUCACCUCUGACUAUGAAGUACGAAUGCCCCGACUGUCCCUGUUAAUCAUUACUCCGAUCCCGAAGGCCAACGUAAUAGAACCGAAAUCAUAUAAUGCUAUGCCAUGCUAAAGGGACGAGACGACCGGUGCACACCAAAGGCGGACCGGCUGGCCCAUCCCAAAGUCCAACUACGAGCUUUUUAACUGCAACAACUUAAAUAUACGCUAUUGGAGCUGGAAUUACCGCGGCUGCUGGCACCAGACUUCCAUCCCAAAGUCCAACUACGAGCUUUUUAACUGCAACAACUUAAAUAUACGCUAUUGGAGCUGGAAUUACCACGGCUCCUGGCACCAGACUUUCCCUCCAAUAGAUCCUCGUUAAGGGAUUUAGAUUGUACUCAUUCCAAUUGCUAGAAUCACAGAGCCCGGUAUUGUUAUUUAUUGUCACUACCUCCCCGUGUCAGGAUAGGGUAAUUUGCGCGCCUGCUGCCUUCCUUGGAUGUGGUAGCCGUUUCUCAUGAUCCCUUUCCGGAAUCGAAC
This 6736-nucleotide long non-coding RNA is filed under the name Nicotiana benthamiana. RNAcentral's name for it is "long non-coding RNA (NBEN_LNC017510)". Lineage: Eukaryota; Viridiplantae; Streptophyta; Magnoliopsida; Solanales; Solanaceae. The record is from RNAcentral.